CGAACGCUGGCGGCGUGCUUAACACAUGCAAGUCGCACGGAAAGGCCCUGCUUUUGUGGGGUGCUCGAGUGGCGAACGGGUGAGUAACACGUGAGUAACCUGCCCUUGACUUUGGGAUAACUUCAGGAAACUGGGGCUAAUACCGGAUAGGAGCUCCUGCUGCAUGGUGGGGGUUGGAAAGAUUCGGCGGUUGGGGAUGGACUCGCGGCUUAUCAGCUUGUUGGUGGGGUAGUGGCUUACCAAGGCCUUGACGGGUAGCCGGCCUGAGAGGGUGACCGGCCACAUUGGGACUGAGAUACGGCCCAGACUCCUACGGGAGGCAGAAGUGGGGAAUAUUGCACAAUGGGCGGAAGCCUGAUGCAGCAACGCCGCGUGCGGGAUGACGGCCUUCGGGUUGUAAACCGCUUUCGCCUGUGACGAAGCGUGAGUGACGGUAAUGGGUAAAGAAGCACCGGCUAACUACGUG
This 466-nucleotide ribosomal RNA is filed under the name uncultured bacterium. RNAcentral describes it as "partial 16S ribosomal RNA". It matches the Rfam family "Bacterial small subunit ribosomal RNA", at positions 30 to 507 of the family's 1533-position model. The record is from RNAcentral.